Long non-coding RNA from Temnothorax curvispinosus, 134 nucleotides. RefSeq lists it as uncharacterized. The record is from RefSeq and is a predicted model, not a curated record. The transcript is spliced from 3 exons. NCBI's taxonomy places the organism in Eukaryota, Metazoa, Arthropoda, Insecta, Hymenoptera, Formicidae.
UACCUCAAAGAUUUUUCCCCCCCCGGUACGGACCCCCACCAUUCACUUCCUUUAAAAUGGCGCUACUUUCAAAAUUCGGCUCGGGUUACGCUAACCCAGAUCGUACCCUGAGGGUUAAUUCGUAAAUGUAAGUC